GACGAACGCUGGCGGCGUGCUUAACACAUGCAAGUCGAACGGAAAGGCCCUGCUUUUGUGGGGUGCUCGAGUGGCGAAAGGGUGAGUAACACGUGAGUAACCUGCCCUUGAGUUUGGGAUAACUUCAGGAAACUGGGGCGAAUACCGGAUAUGAGCACCUUCUGCAUGGUGGGGGUUGGAAAGUUUCGGCGGUUGGGGAUGGACACGCGGCUUAUCAGCUUGUUGGUGGGGUAGUGGCGUACCAAGGCUUUGACGGGUAGCCGGCCUGAGAGGGUGACCGGCCACAUUGGGACUGAGAUACGGCCCAGACUCCUACGGGAGGCAGCAGUGGGGAAUAUUGCACAAUGGGCGGAAGCCUGAUGCAGCAACGCCGCGUGCGGGAUGACGGCCUUCGGGUUGUAAACCGCUUUCGCCUGUGACGAAGCGUGAGUGACGGUAAUGGGUAAAGAAGCACCGGCUAACUACGUG
Molecule: ribosomal RNA, 468 nt
Filed under: uncultured bacterium
Lineage: Bacteria
Description: partial 16S ribosomal RNA
Rfam family: Bacterial small subunit ribosomal RNA
Source: RNAcentral